AUGGCUCAGAUUGAACGCUGGCGGCAGGCCUAACACAUGCAAGUCGAGCGGUAGCACAGAGAGCU
This 65-nucleotide ribosomal RNA is filed under the name Enterobacter sp. CC120223-11. Its description in RNAcentral is "16S rRNA. Bacterial SSU". Lineage: Bacteria; Pseudomonadati; Pseudomonadota; Gammaproteobacteria; Enterobacterales; Enterobacteriaceae. The record is from RNAcentral.